UCCAGACUCCUACGGGAGGCAGCAGUGAGGAAUAUUGGUCAAUGGUCGGGAGACUGAACCAGCCAAGUCGCGUGAGGGAAUAAGGCCCUAUGGGUCGUAAACCUCUUUUGUCAGGGAGCAAAGGCGUCCACGUGUGGACGAGAGGAGAGUACCUGAAGAAAAAGCAUCGGCUAACUCCGUGCCAGCAGCCGCGGUAAUACGGAGGAUGCGAGCGUUAUCCGGAUUUAUUGGGUUUAAAGGGUGCGCAGGCGGAGGUGCAAGUCAGCGGUCAAAUUGCGGGGCUCAACCCCGUACUGCCGUUGAAACUGGCGUUCUUGAGUGAGCGAGAAGUAUGCGGAAUGCGUGGUGUAGCGGCGAAAUGCAUAGAUAUCACGCAGAACUCCGAUUGCGAAGGCAGCAUACCGGCGCUCAACUGACGCUCAUGCACGAAAGCGUGGGUAUCGAACAGGAUUAGAUACCCUUGUA
RNAcentral lists this ribosomal RNA (465 nucleotides) under uncultured bacterium. Its description in RNAcentral is "bacterial SSU rRNA". It matches the Rfam family "Bacterial small subunit ribosomal RNA", at positions 330 to 792 of the family's 1533-position model. The record is from RNAcentral.